UCCUAAUUUCUAUGGGGAUCUCAACAUACAAGUAUUCUUAGAUUGGAUUGCUACCAUUGAUAGUUUCUUUGACCAUAUGGACAUAGCACUUGAAAAACAAGUCAAAUUGGUGGCUUGUUGGUUGAAAGAUGGUGCUUUUGCUUAGUAGGAAUAGCUACAAUCUAGAAGGAAGCGAAAAGGGAAGGGGUUAGUUCGAACUUGGUACGAAAUGCAGUAUUUGUUGGAACAAGAAUUUUUGCCUCUAGAUUAUGAGCAGAUUUUACUCCAUCAGAAACAACAUUGUCAACAAGAGUUUCAACCAAAGCCCUUAA
Molecule: unclassified non-coding RNA, 311 nt
Filed under: Hevea brasiliensis (rubber tree)
Lineage: Eukaryota; Viridiplantae; Streptophyta; Magnoliopsida; Malpighiales; Euphorbiaceae
Source: RNAcentral